UACAGAGGUCUCAAGCGUUGUUCGGAUUCAUUGGGCGUAAAGGGUGUGUAGGUGGCGCGCUAAGUCGGGUGUGAAAUUUCGGAGCUUAACUCCGAAACUGCAUUCGAUACUGCGGUGCUUUGAGGACUGGAGAGGAGACUGGAAUUCAUGGUGUAGCAGUGAAAUGCGUAGAGAUCAUGAGGAAGACCAGAGGCGAAGGCGGCGACCUGGACAAGCACUGACACUCAACUACGAAAGCGUGGGGAGCAAACAGG
This 254-nucleotide ribosomal RNA is filed under the name uncultured bacterium. RNAcentral's name for it is "partial 16S ribosomal RNA". It matches the Rfam family "Bacterial small subunit ribosomal RNA", at positions 524 to 776 of the family's 1533-position model. The record is from RNAcentral.